GGACCAAGGAUAAAAUUGUAACUUGGUACUACAGCUCAACACGUAGAGCCCAAUUUUGAUAACACGUGGUCACCGUUUGAUUUCUGAAACGCUCCAUCUGUGAACACCUUGUCUCAUACCUCCUCUCCAUCCUUAUUUCCUACUGUGUCUUCAGAAGCUGUGAGCGAGAGGAUCUAAAAGCUUAGUCAUUGAAGUAGUCCAGAAAAUAUCCUCAAGCUAUAAAGGCUUACGACAACAGCAACACUGAUUGAUGCCAGGUCUAAAAGCUUCCUUUUGCGGCCUGAUUCCAGACAUGACAGUAGCAUCAACUACCAAAUAAAUGUAUUCCUCCAAGUUACUGAGAUCCACCUGCGAAUUUCAUCCAAGAUAUUUCGCAGUAAUAAGCUUGUGAAGAUACGCUGCUUAUGGGAUUGAUAAAAGCAUUGCUAUCUUUAACUUCAAAAUGUGAGGAUGUAUUCCGUACCUUCAAUGUUUACCAGAUGAAUGCGUGGAGAUUACAACUAAUAAUGAGGAUCCACUUUUUGUAAAGCUUAAGGGUUUGAAUGGAGAAAGGAGGAGAUUGUCUCAGAGUUUUGAGUAUAAUUAUGAUGAUUUUAUUCCCAUUUUGAGGCCUUUCUUGAGAGGUUAUUUGAAGAUCCUAAGAGAAGUUAAGGAGAAGAGGUUGCAGCUAUUCAAAGACUACUCUCUUGAUGAAAGAAAGUAUGGAUACUUUGGGCAUUGAGAAGUGGAAAUUUGUCAGCGACGUGUGAGCUUUCACAUCUAUUGAAGCCCGUUUUUUACUACAUAGUUCUACUGAUCAUAUAUGAGUGGUUGAUCGAAAGAUUAUAGUAAUGUUCACUAGCCUUGAUUAUAGUAAUGUUCUAUUACGUGUAAGCCGAAGAACCAAUUGCAAGAUUACGUGCGCAGAAAGGCGUUAAAGAAUACAUUGGUCUCUCAUUGAUUGUAUUAGAAUUUUCAAACAAGUUCAUAAUAUUUUUGGCUACUUCGCAUUCCCAUAACAUGAUUACAUGUGGGGGAAGAUGUUUAA
Long non-coding RNA from Nicotiana tabacum (common tobacco), 1027 nucleotides. RefSeq lists it as uncharacterized. Lineage: Eukaryota; Viridiplantae; Streptophyta; Magnoliopsida; Solanales; Solanaceae. The record is from RefSeq and is a predicted model, not a curated record.